AGUUUCGAGUCCUGGCUACAGGACGACGCUGGCGGCGUGCCUAAUACAUGCAAGUCGAGCGAGCGGGACCAACAGAUUUACUUCGGUAAUGACGUUGGGAAAGCGAGCGGCGGAUGGGUGAGUAACACGUGGGGAACCUGCCCCUAAGUCUGGGAUACCAUUUGGAAACAGGUGCUAAUACCGGAUGAUAAAGCAGAUCGCAUGAUCAGCUUUUGAAAGGCGGCGUAAGCUGUCGCUAAGGGAUGGCCCCGCGGUGCAUUAGCUAGUUGGUAAGGUAACGGCUUACCAAGGCGACGAUGCAUAGCCGAGUUGAGAGACUGAUCGGCCACAUUGGGACUGAAACACGGCCCAAACUCCUACGGGAGGCAGCAGUGGGGAAUUUUCCGCAAUGGGCGAAAGCCUGACGGAGCAAUGCCGCGUGAAGGUAGAAGGCCUACGGGUCAUGAACUUCUUUUCCCGGAGAAGAAGCAAUGACGGUAUCCGGGGAAUAAGCAUCGGCUAACUCUGUG
This 509-nucleotide ribosomal RNA is filed under the name uncultured Bacilli bacterium. Its description in RNAcentral is "bacterial SSU rRNA". It matches the Rfam family "Bacterial small subunit ribosomal RNA", at positions 1 to 507 of the family's 1533-position model. Lineage: Bacteria; Bacillati; Bacillota; Bacilli. The record is from RNAcentral.